RNAcentral lists this ribosomal RNA (292 nucleotides) under uncultured Alphaproteobacteria bacterium. Its description in RNAcentral is "partial 16S ribosomal RNA". Lineage: Bacteria; Pseudomonadati; Pseudomonadota; Alphaproteobacteria. The record is from RNAcentral.
GGACUACUGGGGUAUCUAAUCCUGUUUGCUCCCCACGCUUUCGCGCCUCAGCGUCAAUUGCAGGCCAGAUGGCCGCCUUCGCCACCGGUGUUCUUCCCAAUAUCUACGAAUUUCACCUCUACACUGGGAAUUCCGCCAUCCUCUCCUGCCUUCCAGCGCCGCAGUAUCAAGCGCCAUUCCCAGGUUGAGCCCGGGCCUUUCACGCCUGACUUACAGCACAGCCUACGCGCCCUUUACGCCCAGUAAUUCCGAACAACGCUAGCCCCCUUCGUAUUACCGCGGCUGCUGGCAC